UUACGCAGGAAGUUGUGCUCCAAUACGUA
Molecule: small RNA, 29 nt
Filed under: Bombyx mori (domestic silkworm)
Lineage: Eukaryota; Metazoa; Arthropoda; Insecta; Lepidoptera; Bombycidae
Description: ovarian small RNA-36535
Source: RNAcentral